Molecule: ribosomal RNA, 744 nt
Filed under: Bacillus sp. (in: firmicutes)
Lineage: Bacteria; Bacillati; Bacillota; Bacilli; Caryophanales; Bacillaceae
Description: bacterial SSU rRNA
Rfam family: Bacterial small subunit ribosomal RNA
Source: RNAcentral
GACAGAUGGGAGCUUGCUCCCUGAUGUAGCGGCGGACGGGUGAGUAACACGUGGGUAACCUGCCUGUAAGACUGGGAUAACUCCGGGAAACCGGGGCUAAUACCGGAUGCUUGAUUGAACCGCAUGGUUCAAUUAUAAAAGGUGGCUUUUACCUACCACUUACAGAUGGACCCGCGGCGCAUUAUCUAGUUGGUGAGGGAACGGCUCAGCAAGGAAACGAUGCGUAGCCGACCUGAUAGGGUGAUCGGCCACACUGGGACUGAGACACGGACCACACUCCUACGGGAGGCAGCAGAAUGGAAUCUUCCGCAAUGGACGAAAGUCUGACGGAGCAACGCCGCGUGAGUGAUGAAGGUUUUCGGAUCGUAAAACUCUGUUGUUAGGGAAGAACAAGUACCGUUCGAAUAGGGCGGUACCUUGACGGUACCUAACCAAAAAGCCACGGCUAACUACGUGCCAGCAGCCGCGGUAAUACGUAGGUGGCAAGCGUUGUCCGGAAUUAUUGGGCGUAAAGCGCGCGCAGGCGGUUUCUUAAUUCUGAUGUGAAAGCCCCCGGCUCAACCGGGGAGGGUCAUUGGAAACUGGGGAACUUGAGUGCAGAAAAGGAAAGUGGAAUUCCACGUGUAACGGUGAAAUGCAUAGAGAUGUGGAGGAACACCAAUGGCGAAUGCGACUCUCUGGUCUGUAACUGACGCUGAAGCGCGAGAGCGUGGGGAGCGAACAGGAUUACAUACCCUGGUAGUC